This 450-nucleotide ribosomal RNA is filed under the name uncultured bacterium. RNAcentral's name for it is "partial 16S ribosomal RNA". It matches the Rfam family "Bacterial small subunit ribosomal RNA", at positions 354 to 796 of the family's 1533-position model. The record is from RNAcentral.
GUGGGGAAUAUUGGACAAUGGGCGAAAGCCUGAUCCAGCCAUGCCGCGUGUGUGAAGAAGGUCUUCGGAUUGUAAAGCACUUUAAGUUGGGAGGAAGGGCAUUAACCUAAUACGUUAGUGUUUUGACGUUACCGACAGAAUAAGCACCGGCUAACUUCGUGCCAGCAGCCGCGGUAAUACGAAGGGUGCAAGCGUUAAUCGGAAUUACUGGGCGUAAAGCGCGCGUAGGUGGUUUUGUAAGUUGGAGGUGAAAUCCCCGGGCUCAACCUGGGAACUGCCUCCAAAACUGCAUGACUAGAGUACGGUAGAGGGUAGUGGAAUUUCCUGUGUAGCGGUGAAAUGCGUAGAUAUAGGAAGGAACACCAGUGGCGAAGGCGACUACCUGGACUGAUACUGACACUGAGGUGCGAAAGCGUGGGGAGCAAACAGGAUUAGAUACCCUAGUAGUCC